This 479-nucleotide ribosomal RNA is filed under the name uncultured bacterium. Its description in RNAcentral is "bacterial SSU rRNA". It matches the Rfam family "Bacterial small subunit ribosomal RNA", at positions 29 to 507 of the family's 1533-position model. The record is from RNAcentral.
ACGAACGCUGGCGGCGUGCCUAACACAUGCAAGUCAACUUGACUGAAGGGAGCAAUCUGACAGUAGAGUGGCGCAAGGGUGCGUAACGCGUAAGUAACUUGCCCCAAGGUAGGAAUAACGUCGAGAAAUCGGCGCUAAUACCUCAUAAUGCAGCGGAUCCGCAUGGAUAUGUUGUUAAAGGUUUACCGCCUUGGGAUAGGCUUGCGUCUGAUUAGUUAGUUGGUGUGGUAACGGCACACCAAGGCUACGAUCAGUAACUGGUCUGAGAGGAUGAUCAGUCACACUGGAACUGAGACACGGUCCAGACUCCUACGGGAGGCAGCAGUGAGGAAUAUUGGGCAAUGCUCGAAAGAGUGACCCAGCAACGCCGCGUGGAGGAUGAAGGUAUUCUAUAUCGUAAACUCCUGUGAGAGCAGACGAAAGACAGAUUAUUAAUCUGGAUGACUGUAUGCUCAGAGGAAGCCCCGGCUAACUACGUG